RNAcentral lists this ribosomal RNA (247 nucleotides) under uncultured Gardnerella sp. RNAcentral's name for it is "partial 16S ribosomal RNA". It matches the Rfam family "Bacterial small subunit ribosomal RNA", at positions 108 to 356 of the family's 1533-position model. The record is from RNAcentral. Lineage: Bacteria; Bacillati; Actinomycetota; Actinomycetes; Bifidobacteriales; Bifidobacteriaceae.
GAGUAAUGCGUGACCAACCUGCCCCAUGCUCCAGAAUAGCUCUUGGAAACGGGUGGUAAUGCUGGAUGCUCCAACUUGACGCAUGUCUUGUUGGGAAAGUGUUUAGUGGCAUGGGAUGGGGUCGCGUCCUAUCAGCUUGUAGGCGGGGUAAUGGCCCACCUAGGCUUCGACGGGUAGCCGGCCUGAGAGGGCGGACGGCCACAUUGGGACUGAGAUACGGCCCAGACUCCUACGGGAGGCAGCAGCG